This is a long non-coding RNA of Hypanus sabinus (Atlantic stingray), 658 nucleotides long. RefSeq lists it as uncharacterized. Lineage: Eukaryota; Metazoa; Chordata; Chondrichthyes; Myliobatiformes; Dasyatidae. The record is from RefSeq and is a predicted model, not a curated record. The transcript has 4 exons.
GAAACACCGAGAAGAGAGAUUCUACAGCAGCAGAGAGACGGUAGUUCCACUUCCAGCAUUCCCACUGAGUUUAACUUCAUAACUUACAGAGAUGAAUUAAACAUGGAGCGAGGUCGGUGUUGGAUGUGAGCAAUGUGAGGCUCUCCGUCCGGUCGACCAUCAGUUGCCGGGAAGAGCUGUGAAGUAUGAUGCAGAUUGAAUGAGAAAGCAGCAGGACCAGGAAGCAAUGAGCUCUUUCAGUGAAUCCCAUCUGAAUUGAUCCAACAGAACCAGUUCACUGAGUAGGAUAAUUCACUGGAAACUGACUCUUACCCAGGCACAAGGAAAACAUCGGUACCACAGGUGGCCCAGAAGUCAAUGUUUCUGACAGGCUCUGUGGAUCAGUUGAAUGGACUGGAGAAUGUUGCCAUUGUUCAGGUUACUCAGACACAGCAGAGGGCUUGCACAAAGAACCAGGUUGAAUCAAGCACCCAACAACAGCAAAAUGAUUCCAAAAAAAAGUCAAAAUGUCUUUGAGCAUCUGCCGGCACAGUGAGAGGUGUACCUUUGCUCUUAAGUACUUAUUCCAAGCCUUCACGGCAAAAGCUUAUGAGAAAAUUCCUCUAACAGUUGCAAGCAGACUUCAAACCUUGGGGAACAUAAAUUAAUCAAACCUGGU